Molecule: transfer RNA, 87 nt
Filed under: Chitinophagaceae bacterium
Lineage: Bacteria; Pseudomonadati; Bacteroidota; Chitinophagia; Chitinophagales; Chitinophagaceae
Also listed under: 2 other names
Description: tRNA-Leu
Rfam family: tRNA
About the family: Transfer RNA (tRNA) molecules are approximately 80 nucleotides in length. Their secondary structure includes four short double-helical elements and three loops (D, anti-codon, and T loops).
Source: RNAcentral
GCCCAGAUGGCGGAAUUGGUAGACGCACUAGACUCAAAAUCUAGCGUUCGCAAGGAUGUGCAGGUUCGAUUCCUGUUCUGGGCACAA